Molecule: ribosomal RNA, 494 nt
Filed under: uncultured bacterium
Lineage: Bacteria
Description: partial 16S ribosomal RNA
Rfam family: Bacterial small subunit ribosomal RNA
Source: RNAcentral
GACGAACGCUGGCGGCGUGCUUAACACAUGCAAGUCGAACGGUGAGGCGCCUUCCUUUUUGGUGGGUGUGGAUGAGUGGCGAACGGGUUAGUAACACGUUAGUAACCUUCCCCCUUCUUCUGGAUAACCGCAUGAAAGUGUUGCUAAUACGGGAUAUUCUGGGCCUGUCGCAUGAUGGGUCUGGGACAGUUAUUGUUUCGGUUGGGGAUGGGCUCGCGGCCUAUCAGCUUGUUGGUGGGGUGAUGGCCUACCAAGGCGGUGACGAGUAGCCGGCCUGAGAGGGUGGGCGGUCACAGAGGGAAUGCGCCGCGCAGCAGACUCCGAGGGGAGGCAGUAGUGAGGAAUAUGGCAUAGUGGGAGCAAGGCUGAUGCAGCGACGCCGCGGGGGGGAUGGUGGCCGGCGCGUUGUGAACUGCUUUCGCGAGUGAAGCAGGCUUGCCUUGUUUGUGGGUGGGUUGACGGUAGCUGGAUAGGAAGCGCCGGCUAACUACGUG